Molecule: non-coding RNA, 333 nt
Organism: Poecile atricapillus (Black-capped chickadee)
Lineage: Eukaryota; Metazoa; Chordata; Aves; Passeriformes; Paridae
Source: the annotation of a RefSeq genome assembly
AUGCACCUCGCCUCUCUCAUCCUCACCCUCUUCCUGGGACAGCUCCUGGGCACCACAGGGCAGAUCACGGUCACCCAGGACGAUGGACAAGUCAUGGUGAAGAAGGGACACCCCUUCCAGACCACCUGCAAAUACCAGACCAGUUAUUUUAAUGCCUUGCUCUGGUACCAGCUGCGGAAAGGCCAAGCCCCACAGCUGCUCUCCUAUCAAGCAGGCUCUGGCCCCAAGCACAGUGGCCGGAUCACCACGCACCUCAACACCACGGGGAAAUACAGUGUCCUGAAGCACAGAGCAGCAGCGUCCCAGGCUCAGAAGGAGCCCGAGUGCAGCUGA